This 203-nucleotide small nuclear RNA is filed under the name Echinops telfairi (small Madagascar hedgehog). Its description in RNAcentral is "U2 spliceosomal RNA (ENSETEG00000021132.1)". It matches the Rfam family "U2 spliceosomal RNA". From Rfam's summary of the family: U2 is a small nuclear RNA (snRNA) component of the spliceosome (involved in pre-mRNA splicing). Complementary binding between U2 snRNA (in an area lying towards the 5' end but 3' to hairpin I) and the branchpoint sequence (BPS) of the intron results the bulging out of an unpaired adenosine, on the BPS, which initiates a nucleophilic attack at the intronic 5' splice site, thus starting the first of two transesterification reactions that mediate splicing. The record is from RNAcentral. Lineage: Eukaryota; Metazoa; Chordata; Mammalia; Afrosoricida; Tenrecidae.
AUCACUUCUUGGCCUUUUGGAUAAGAUCAAGUGUAGUAGCUGUUCUUAUCAGUUUAAUAUCUGAUACAUCCUCUAUCCUAGAACAAUAUAUUAAAUGGAUUUUUGGAGCAGGGAGAUGGAGUAAGAGCUUGAGUAAGAGCUUGCUCUGUCCACUCCACGCAUUGACCUGGUAUUGCAGUACUUCCAGGAAAGGUGCAUCCCUU